RNAcentral lists this transfer RNA (68 nucleotides) under Aquatica wuhana. RNAcentral describes it as "tRNA-Val". The record is from RNAcentral. Lineage: Eukaryota; Metazoa; Arthropoda; Insecta; Coleoptera; Lampyridae.
CAGAUUAAAGCUUAAAAGUAGUUUUUUAUUUACAUUAAAAAGUUACUGUUUAAUUCAGUAUAAUUUGA